AAGCUACUGAGGCUUCAGUUUUAUUCGCUAGCUUGGUCUCUAGUAAGCCAUGGCCCCCACCGCGAUGGCCGCCGCCACCUCCGUCGCUCCAUUCCAGGGGCUCAAGUCCACCGCCAGACUCCCCGUCAGCCGCCGCUCCAGCAGCUCCGGCUUCGGCAACGUCAGCAACGGCGGAAGGAUCAGGUGCAUGCAGGUAACAAUCGAUCGAUCUUUUUUUUAAGACGCGCAAUAGCAUGUUUUUCGUUAAGUAGAGAGAAACAGAGUACAUACAGAGCAUGCACGACCGAAUAAACAGCUCGACAAUCGAUCUGAGUUAAAUGCAACUGAGUAGUAGGAAGUCAGGAACUGAUGCAUGGGUAUUGUUAAUUGCUCAGGUGUGGCCGGCGGAGGGCAACAAGAAGUUCGAGACCCUCUCCUACCUGCCACCUCUCUCCACGGACGAGGUCCUAAAGCAGAUCGACUACCUGAUCCGGAAGAACUGGAUUCCCUGCCUCGAGUUCAGCAAGAUCGGGUUCGUCUAUCGUGAGAACAGCACGUCUCCCUGUUACUACGACGGGCGCUACUGGACCAUGUGGAAGCUGCCCAUGUUCGGCUGCACCGAGGCCACCCAGGUGUACGCUGAGUUCGAGGAGUGCAAGAAGGCCUACCCCGACUGUUACAUCCGUAUCAUCGGCUUCGACAACAUCAAGCAGGUGCAGUGCGUCAUGUUCAUCGCCUACAAGCCCCCAGGCUCCGAGUAAGACCGGCGGCGCCAAAUAAGCUUAUCGCGCGGACCGCUCGCUCGUGAGCGACCGUGGAUGAAGUGUCUACUCGGUUUUGGCAACUUAAUUAUUUGACGCUCUGUUUAAAGUCGCCUGCUUGUUAAUUCCCUUUCUUUUCGUGUUUCCGUCCUGUGUGUAUGUACGAAUGUACAUGUAUCAACGUAGGCUGAGGAGCAUGCAUAUGUGAAUGCUAGCGCCGGCUAAACUUAUACGCAUACACAUCGUAAUAUAUUGUAUACGCAAUUCCUCCACUGCCUCAUCUUCUUGACGUAUAAUUAUAUAUCUAUGUACUAUCGGCUUGUUUGGUUGGAUGUAAUUGGUGGGUGGGAAAAAGAGUUUAGAUGCGAGAGAUUAAAAUUCUAUUAUUUGUUUAGUGGGCCUGGAAGUUUUAAUGGGACGAGAAAUGCCCACCAAUCAAUUCCCAUGGGGAGGGUGAGAAUUUGUUUUUUAAAAAGUAGAAGAUAAAUGCAUUUACAUUAUUAAUCAUGACUUAAUAUAUAACUAGCAAAAUGCCCGUGCAUUGCUAUGGUAAAAUAAUGCUAAUUGUAUUUUUAAAAACUUGUGGAUUUUUUCUGUUUCUACCACUAUAUGUUUAUUGCAUUUAGUGGAUCUAUACAUACAUCCUUAUACUCAAAAAAUCAUAUAUCCUUAUACUCAAAUAAUCAUUCAUUUCUAUCUUUUUAAUUUAUACAAGAGAUUUUCUAAGAUAAAAAAAUAGAUACAACGAUAUUGCACCCUACAAUGUAAGCAUAACUCUAAUUGUUUGUACCCUCUUAUCCGAAUUGAUGAAUACUAUAUUUCAUAUGGUCGAGCCUAGCUAACACCUGCUAGCUGAGUGUAACGUACACGUGUUAGCAGGCGUGAACACGUUCUAUUCAUUUCAAUCCAAAUGAUCCUUAAAGUUUGAAAACUAAACAUGUAGCAAAAAAAAUUUAAAAACAAUUAGCAUCAUGUGUGGAUGCAUGCACAAAAUUUGUGAGUCAAGAUUUUUUUUUAUACCAAGGAAAUAAAGGAACGUUACAUAUGACAGAUUUUAGUAAUUUGCUAAAUUAUUUGUAAUGCUCAAACAUUCAAAUAAAAAAUGUGCACCUACCACACAAGGGGAAUUUUCACCUCUAAACCCCCACGCCAAACAAAGGAUAUAAAGUCUCACUUAAACUCCCUGUUAAUUUCCUCCAAAAGACAAACAAGGGAAUGAGUAUUCCCAAGUGAAUCCCCUCCACCAGCUCUUACCACAAGUUCACAUGCCCCAUCCCAUUCAUUGCCAAUAGUACCCUAUAUGUAUUAUUGAUCGUAUCGAAUAUAUUUAUGGCUUUUGCAAAUUCGUUAGUUUUCAUGAUUCAUCAUAUCUUACCAAUGGGAUUCUUAAAAAGAAAAAAAUCUCUCUCUCUAUACAUUUUGUGCCUAGCUUUAAUUUCCACACCUUUGGUGCAAGGAAAAAUUGACACACGUUUUUGAAUUGAACUGGAGGAUAACUCGCCUUGUUUACACUCAUCUUUGAUGGACGCCUCGUCGACAUAGUUUGUGAGUUGUGACGUUCAUUCCAACAUGUGCAGUUUUGACAACAGCUAAAGCUAAAGAUUACCGACCGAGUAUGCCUAUGCAUGUACCACGGUGGCAUUGCUGACGUUCUUGUGUCUGUUGUAGUGCACACGUACAGUACAUAAAUGUGCAGCAACCUGCUAGAUCCUAGAGUGUGCUUCCCAGAUUCUUGUUCUGGUCCAGCAGGGAAAGGGGUUUUUCCGCAAUGUGUGUCCACCAUUCAGGGUUAGAGUGUUCCUAAUUUAGACCACAAGUGUCCAGGAUUUAAGGAUAGGUUCACAAAACUAGACCACAAGUGUCCCAGCUACAGGAUUAGGUUUGGGAUCAACUUGCAUUGUGCCGAGCAAGCGGCACACACUUUACUCAGCAUAAUAAUGACGUAGCUAGUGCAGUACAAUUAUAUGACGUUUUAGGUGUGGAAAUAUCCGGAUUGUAACAGGCUUAAUCUUGUUUAGACUAAGCAUGUCAUCGUGAGCAUCAUUAAGCAUUAAUCAUGGUUGCAAAUAAACAAAACUUGCCUCGGUCAAGCACGACCCAGCAACUCCUUUGCCAUGUCACCACGAACAGUCCACCCCUCACUCGUAGACGGUCCGCUAGCACACCUCGGUACGUGUCGCGCGUGCAUAACUUUUGCGCCACGUCACCCACACGGACCCACUCGUCAGCCCACAUCCCUCCUCGCACAGAGCACCUUGCAGUCCAUCCUAUUCACUUCCUCUCUCUCUCAACCCAAGCCAUGGAGGAGCCCCCAAGGUCCCUCCACCAUUGAAGCCUUCACCUCACCGGAGCUUCGCUGGAGGAUUGCCGGAGCUCGACGUUGAUGCCCUGCACCACCUCGACCUCAGCUUCUUCCUUGGGCUCGGAGUUGAAGUUUCCUCAAGAUCUUCUUCCUCCAUCCCCAAGACCUUCCCCAAGAUUCAAGUGAAGGACGACCCAGAGCUUCUCCAACGCCACCCUACACCAACCUGUGGCACCUCACCGGAGUCCUACACAUCGCCGAUGAACCAUCUCCAUCCCCGAUCCGUUCCCCAUUGCCCUAUGUUGUGAAUCCAUGGAACCCUUUAGAGCCAAAUCACCAUUAAUGACCUAGAGCUUUGAAUCCUUAAUGCGUGUCAAAUCUAUCUCCCUAGAUGAACUCUAGACACUUCCGGGAACCCAAAGAAACAAACCGCACCCCAAACCGAUGCUAGAGUUGUCGCCGAGCCACGAGGGCGGUGCGGACAGUCCGUCGUUUGCACACCAAAAAACAACAGAACCUUUACAUUUCUACUUCUUGAGCACUUUUUGUACUACGGAUGGUUCGCAUAUGAUGGCCGGACAGUCCGCCGUUCAACCACACAACCAAUCGAGCCUCUGCACAUCUUUUCAUCCUGUGUUGAUUUUGUACUGCUGACGGUCCACCAUUGUGGGGUGGACGGUCCGCCAUUCAAGUUAGAAAACCAUCCCGAAUCUGUCUACCUUUGCCAAAACGGUCCGCACUUGAUCGGCGGACAGUCCGCAUAACAGUCCGCCAUUCAAAAUGGACGGUCCACCUUUCCGAAGUCGGAUGGUCCGCUAUAAUACCUGCCAUUUUUAGUCAUCAAAGUGACUCUGAAGAAAUGGAAGCAAUUUAUGAAUAAAAGAAGAAGAAAUUGGCCAAAAAUCAAAUUCGGGUCAAAUUUGAUCGAAAUUUGAAUUUUGAAUUUGAAAUUCAGAAAAAUUUGGCAAAAAUAUGGAAUGGAGGUGUAAGGAUGAUUAGAACUUAAAGAUCAAGAUUUGGGACAAGAUUUGGUUCUAAAUACCUCAAGAAAAUCAAAGAGAGAAAUUGAAAAUCAAAGUUACUGUUCCCUGUCCGACAACAGGAAUUUCAGAAAAACAGCACAAAGCUCAUUUUUGGAAAUUAGAUUCUCUUGAAUUUUUCAAAUAAAUGGAUCCAAACAACUAUACCAUAUUAAAGUGUGGACUUUGGAAAAGAAUCUUCAAGUGUUGUUGAUCAGGAAUAGUAGAGGGAACCAUUUCAAAUGGAAGCUCAAAGUCGGCACCUUGUCACGGUAAACUGCACCUCUGAAAUUAUCUAAGUCUGAAACAGCACUACAUGGCCAAGUUUGGAGCCGAUUUCAGAAAAAUGUAGAACAAAAGGUGCAAGUGUUUAUGGGCAAAAUGGAAACUUUGAAGGUUGUAGAACACAAUUGGGAAGAAGUUGGACAGAGAGGAAGGGAUUUAGAUCACUGAAACCAUUUUUAAAGUCAGGUAAGUGACUCUGUUCAAGACUGACGAACUGAACUUUGAAUUUAAGUGAUUCAGUUACAGAAGAAAGGGAAUUCGAAUUCCACUGUGCUAGGAUGUUUAUCCCGGGUAGAAACUUAAAUAAAAGUUGAAGGACUCAAGUUUAUCUACAACUUUGUUUAAGUGACUUGUGAACCGUUGGAUUUGGAAUCGGCCGUGGUGGAGCUCUGAAUAUCGGGCGUCAGAAAAUAAGAAAGGGAAGGGGCGACACAGCAGGCAGGACGUGUCGCCAGGACGUGUCGCUGCCGGUGCGUCUGCCGCUGUCCAGCUCAAGAUAGCUAGGUCACCUCCUUACCACGCAAGCCUACGAGUAGACCACGGUGGCAACCAUGGGCGCGGUGAAAACCUUGAAUAACUACCGCUCCCGCGCCGCCCGUUUUACCGCUGCUCUUUUUCACCGCCGCCGCUCCACUGUCCAAGCCGCCACCGCCGGGUAAAAUUCCCCCACCACACCGCCACUCUCGUCGAUUCCCUCCGUCUACAUCUCCAUACAUACCCCACCAACAACCCUAGCCACUUGUUGCCCAGCUUCUCCGGCGGCGUGCCAGAAACCGCCGUAGUUUCCGUCCGUCGUCACCGCACCUCUUGCUCACGGUGAGCACCUCCUUGCGCUUGCUCUCUUUCUUCUUGGGUAGUCAUAGGCGGGUCCUUGGGGUGCUAGGAGGCUGUAGAGGGAGUCAUCGGGGUGGGUUGCGCUGUCGUCGUGCUUGACCACGACCGGCCGUAGGUGCCGCCGCCCGCCGCCAUGGAGGGAGUGGCUCCGGCCAUCUCCCGAGGAGCUAUCGCCGUGCACGGGUGAGUUAGGCUAUGGGGAUGCUUUCCCGACCUAGCCCCGUCGCCGGUAGGGCGCCGGCCGGCGAGCCGCGCCGCCCCCUGUCGCGCCGGUUUUGGCAAGAGGAAGAAGAAGGCGCUGGAGUCGCGGGCCCGCGCGUCAGUGAGGAAAAGGAGAGAAGGGAGAAAGGCAGGCCGGGCGCGGGCGUCAGUGGGCCAGCGUUCCGGCGGCCCAAGGAGCCGGUGUUGGUCAGCCGUUGAAGAAAAAGGCCGGAGGCCCAGAGAUCCAGCAGGCCGGCGUUGCGAGAGAAAGAGGAAAAGAAAGAUGAGCCGUUGGGCCGUCACUGGUAUAAAGAGAAGGGGUGGAGAGAAGAAUCGGCCCAGGAGGGCCCGGCCGGGGAGGAGUAGGCCGGCGGGUAGGAUGAAUAGGAAAAGGGUGGGUCCGCGCCGCGGGCCCAGUGCAAGAGAGAGGGGGUAGAAGAAGGUCGCGUGAGAAAAGUUGAAGGUCGCGUGAGAAAAGUUGCCGGGGGUGUUUUUCGGGAAAAAUUAGAUUUCCUUUAUAGAAUAAUUAGUUUAAAUCCGAAUCUCACCAUUUAAAUCACAGAAAUUUUCUAGGAGAGUCCAAAAUUAGUGAAACCAAUUUUGUUAGGCUUGUUUUAUUUUCCUUUAUGCAUUAAAAUUUUUAUACCCUAGAAAAAUAAUAAAAAUUUGAGCAUUUAUUGAAUGCCUUUCUUUUAAGGUAUUUAAAUAAAUUCUUAAUCUUUAUUAAAUGCAUAAAAUAUGGAAUAAUAUUUUCAUAACUAAAAAUUAUUAUUAAUUCAUAGGAAAUUAGGUUUUAAAGCUAGAAAAUAAUUAUAACAUUUUCUAAAAAUGAAAGAAAAGGCCUUAAGUAAGGAUAAUUAGGGAAAUAAAAAUUGUGGGCUAAUCUUUUCGGGUUUUUGUGUGUUGGCUUGCAACUUUAUCAUGAUAAAUUGUAUAGUCCUUGUUGGCUUGCAACUUUAUCAUGAAGGAAAGUUGUACAAUCUUGUAUUCAAAAAGUUGCAUUCCUAACCCCUGCAUAUGUUGUGUUAUAGAAAUCGAAGCACUAGAAGGAGAUUACUCAGAAUAUUCAGAAGGAUCUCCGGAGUUUGAGGAAGUCUUUGAAUUGGUCCCAUGCGAAGCCAAUCCUUCGGACAGUGGUAACCUUUUUAGCGAACAAGGCCAGCCCCGGUGCAUUAUACCUAUUAUUUUGGAGUCAAUAUUUCACGUGUCCAUUAUUUAGCUAUUUGCUAUAUGUAUGCACUAAGUUUAGGAGUUGCUUGAAACCCAUUCUUGUGCAUUAUCAUACCUUGUUUUAAGGAUAUCUUUGCCACUUGUUCAAACCUUUAGUAGAUAACCCAAGUCUAGAAUUGCUUAGUUGCUUAAAUGCUUGGUUUAAGGUAAAUCUUGAGUCAUACAUGUUAUUUAUGGAAAGAUGACUUGGAAAUUGAGAAGCGGACAGAAGCUAAGGAUGUAGUUCUGUCUGCUAGAUUAAUUUGGUUGAGGCACGAUUCGUUGUCUUAACCUUUGAUCAAGUGAUAAUUAUCUGAUCACUUACUGGGUAUGGGACCAGUAAAGCCCAGUAGGUUAGUAAACUCUUUGAUCGGGAAUACUUCGUACCCGUGCUUGACGUGCUGGAGAUUGGCAGGGGCGUAGCCUAAAACUCACAUGGUGAGCGGGCCAGACGUGGGGUCCCAUGUGGGGGUGCGUCCCUGGGUCCGGGUAGUCUUAUUCCCAAUCAUUGGUUUUGCUAAUCGAAAAGUCGUUACGUACGACCUGGACAGUCGUAUAUAGCUGGUGAUCAGGGUACUCUCCUGCAGGAUGUAAUAUGAUCCGGAUCGCCGCAAUUCUCGGUUAUGAAUGCACUUGAUCACCGUUGAGCAUUGUAGCAUAAUUUCAUGAAUGUCAUAUCUUUCUGAUAAUGAUUGGUGUAUGACUUUAAUACCUUGUUGUCGCAAUUAAUCUUUUCUCAUCAUCUAGAAUGGUUAGGUAAAAACAUAACCCAAGUAAAAGAUAAAACUAAGGUCUCACUUGUAGUAAGCUCUUUGGCAAAAAUGUAUCAGCCAAGUACACCGAAAAAGCUAUCAUGUGCUUCCAAGAAAAACUAUUAUAUUGGUUAGUCGGGUAAGACUUGCUGAGUACUCCAUACUCAGAGUUAUCCCUUGUGGCUAUCUUUUCAGAAGCACCGCAGGAGUCCACUGAGGAGGAAGCCCCAAAACCCUAGGGUAUUGUUAUGAGUCUCACAAUACCCUUAGAAGAAGUCUCAUAAUGCUCAUCUCCAUCCGAACCGUUUAUGUUUUAAGUCCUAGAACUCUGUCUAACACUGCACUGUUAAGUUUGCUUCAAACUAUAUCUUGUAUUAACUCGUACCUCUUGUAUGUAUGUAAAAAUGUAAUAUUUGUUGAUGCUAUCCCAUCGCGGAUACAAUCAUGAUGUAUGGCUAUGAGACACGACGUGGAUCUUUCGAGGAGUCCUAGGGACACUCGACGGACGACCGGACUUAUACUGUUUUAAGUGCGUUUCGGAUAAUUGCUGCGUCGGCAGCAAUUAGGCGCAUUUAAACCAGUUUAAGUUGGAUGGUUCCGCCACAGCUGGUAUCAGAGCCGUAGGUUGGGAUAACCAACAGAUAUUACCAUUUAAAAUACUGAGACUCUAUUUUAAAAUAAAGAAAACAUGAGUCAUAGGUGGCAGUAGUGUUAACUGGUUGUUUGUUUUGCAGAUGCUAACUGUUUGCUGCGUGUCGCUAGUAUUCAGUAGUAUAUUAUUAGGGAGAGAUUACGAUGCCACCAAUUUCUGUACGAGUGAGUAUAUGAGUCUGUGAGUACGUAGGAGUCGUUGCAUCAUGUUGCAUAAGCAUGUUUUAAAAACUUUUGGGUUUGGUGAGUGCCGUUAGACCUAACCUCGUUUCUUUUAUAGGAUGUUUCAAGAAGGCUACACCGACCAGGACGGAUGGACCCGAGGGCAUUACCUGGAUAAGCCAGGGUUUGUGCAGCUGCUAUGGAAAACGCUGCAGGAAUUAGGUUUCCAUAACCCUCCAGAGUAUUAUUGGAGGAAGGAGGACACGUGUCACAAGCAGUGCUGCACUGUUUAUGUGCACAUUCCAGAUGAAGACACCAACCCCAAUUGGCGUCUAGAAGAAGUGAUGGAGUCGGGCUUCGAGUUCAACGACACAAUUGAAAGGGCGGCUAUGACUGCUCUCACAGACCUAUGUGAGAAGCACAAGGUAGAGAUAGGGUCGAGCUCUGCUUGAUUUUAUCCUAUAAAGCAUCAAGAUGAUGGAAUCUGGAAGAGAAGGAUUAAAGCCCUGAAGAACUCUUCUCGUGUAGAGCAUGACAUCUUGGUUGUUGCUGCCUCCGACUACAUGAUGGCCAUGUACAACUUGCACCAGUCUUGCAUCAGAGAGUAUUAUAAUCAGAGGAAGAAAAAUGAAGAUGCCAAGAUGGAGUUAAUGGGUGCCAGACACGAUAAGGAGUUGUACAAGAAGGCGGCAUUAGCAAGGGAACACGACAUGGAGAAAAUCAUGAGAGAGUAGUCCAGAAGAAUAGAUGAAUAUGAAGAGAAACUCAGGGUAAUGCAAGGAUUCAUAGAGGCCAGUAGGAGUAUGGCAGAUAGGGCAAGAGAAGAAGCCGAAUCCAAUGUUAAUAGGCUCGAGGCAGAAAGAUUCCAGCAGCUGGACGAAAUCUUAUCUCUUCGUCUGGCUUUGGAGGAAAUGUAGGCCCAGGUACCUGCGCAGAACAUAGUCAAUGUUCCACCGCCUCCACCACCAGAAGAACCCCAGCCACCGAACCCAGAAGAAGCAGAUCAAUUAGUGGAUGUUGUAGGAGUGGAGGGUGAUAUUGCUCCACCUGCAGCUCCCGAGAUUGACCUAUACGCUCACGAGAACUUAGAAGGGUUUGAUGUUGACAUGGAAGAUGAUCAGGGUGAAGCUCCCAUGGGAAACCAACAAUUUGCCUGGGCCAAUGCAAAUGCCGAUGGGUUAGAUCCACAAGGCUAUAGACCAAUGCAGCAGUAGGGUGAAGCGGAGCAGGAAGACGGGGAAGAAGAAGAAGACCCCGAAGAAAUGGAGGGAAAUUCCGGAGUUAGUACCUCUGCAUCCUAUACUUCCUAUACUUCAGGUGACCCCGGGCCAGAGUCAGAAAGUGAGAACUCAGUAAAUCAGGCCCCACCUGUCGCUCCUCCGGGACAGACGCUGAUGACAGUGGACCAAGAUAUUCUGCAGGCAGCGAUGGCCCGGCUAGGACUGAAUGCCGAAGAGCUAGGACUCUACCCUUAUGAUGGUUAAAGCAAGACCUUAACUAAGAGAUGUUGUAAUGUAUUUAUGUAAGAUAAAUGUGAUGGACGGAGUAGCACGGUGGUUUUGUAAAAAGUAACUUCAAGUCAUGUAAUAUAAAUAAAUAUGUAUAUAAGUGUGGUCUGUGAAUGGUCAUGCUGUGAUGUGUGAAAUAUUAGUGUGCAGGGAACUGUUAGCAAAAUGCACCUUAGAUAUUAAUAUUCUGUUUACUUUUGACAGCAUGACGGAUCCAAGAGGUCCAUGAGCUUCAGGGUCAGGGGGCCAUGAGGAGAAUUUACCGAGAGCUCCAACGCUGGCAGAUGCUAUAGCCAGCCUUAUGAGUUCAGGAGCCGAACAGGCUCGACUGCUCCAAAUGAUCGUACAAAACACCGGCAAUGGUGGAAACCGACGAGACCCAGAACAGGGUGUAUCCUACACCCAGUUCUUAGAAACUCGUCCUCCAAUAUUCUUGAAAGCUGAGCAUCCACUUGAAGCUAAUGAAUGGCUUCAGACGAUGGAGCAGAAGUUUCUAGUAAUUCCCCAGUGCACCACCACCCAAAAGGCGGAGUUUGCAGGACUCCAGCUCCAAGGUCCCGCUGGGACCUGGUGGACCAGUUACCUGGCAAGGCAACCGGUUGGAAGGGAAGUUACAUGGGAGAACUUCAAGGAGGCCUUCCGGACACAGUUUGUGCCAGAAGGUAUCAUGCGCAUGAAGCUGGAGCAAUUCCUAGGGCUACAGCAAGGAACCCGCAGCAUUCUGGAAUACACCAAUGAGUUUGAUCACUUAGCCUAGUAUGCAUCGGAACAUGUCAAUACAGAGUCCAGAAAAAGAGAUUGCUAUCUUCGUGGGCUAAAUGCACGAAUGCAGAAGAAGCUGUCCACCUGCACCUUUGCUGACUAUAGUUCUGCGGUAAGCACAGCCAUUACUGCAGAAGAAAAGAUGAGGAUCUUAGAUGAGACUUUAAAGAAAGAAGAAUAUUCCUUUUGGAACCUUCGGUAAUGCCCCACAAAGAAUGAAAGUGGUAUACCAAGGUUCUCCUCGACCCAUGUAUCGGCCUUCGUUUCAGUAGAGGCCCUUUCAGCCCUGGAAUGUUAAAGCUCCUAUUAAUGCUCCUCGUCCUGUAAAUGCACCACCUCUUGGGUUUCGUAACCCUACUCCUCCAGGGAAUCCACAAGUUUGUUUUAAAUGUGGGAAGCCGGGACACUUUGCCCGGGACUGCCGUUUUCCCAAGGUUGGGGGAAAUGCAAAUUUAAGGGCUCAAACCUCUGGUCAAGGCACUAGGCAGAAGUUUGUUCGUCGCAAGUUUGUGAACACCAAGACAGGAUAGGCUCAUUAUAUGAAUGUGGAGGAAAUUCCGGAAGGAGAGCCUAUUCUGGCAGGUAUGUACCUUGUUAACAAUUAUCCUGCCAUGGUUUUAUUUGAUUCGGGUGCAUCACAUACCUUUAUAAGUAGAAAGUUUGUUACACAACACCAGCUAGGAGUGCAUACCUUAAAUGUCAAAUAUGCUAUUCAAGCUACUGGGGCUACUCAGAAUACAAAUCAAGUAGCUCGCAAUGUGAUUUUGAACUUAGAAGGAAAUAAGGUGGGUGCUUAUCCUUUAAUUCUAGAAGAUCAAGGAAUAGAUAUUAUUUUGGGGGUGAAUUGGAUGAAAGAACAUAAAGUUCAAAUCAAUAUGGAUAAUCGGGUCGUUAGUAUGAGAGAUGACCAAGGCCAUUCUUUUGAGCUCCAAUUACCCGCUCAUCCCUGUUUGGACCAGAUGGUCAAAAAGACUAGAGUAGUGACUCUAGAAUCUAUUCCUGUGGUUAAUGAGUUUAUAGAUGUGUUCCCAGAAGAUCUGCCUGGACUACCGCCUGAUAGAGCGGUAGAAUUUACCAUUGAGUUAGAACCGGACACUACUCCUAUCUCAAGAAGACCGUAUCGGAUGCCACCUAAGGAAUUAGCAGAAUUAAAAGUACAACUCGAAGAAUUGUUGGAUAAAGGUUUUGUCCGACCUAGCACUUCACCAUGGGGCUGCCCUGCUCUAUUUGUUAAAAAGAAAGAUGGCACAUUGAGGUUAUGUGUGGAUUACCGCCCUUUGAAUGCGGUAACCAUUACAAACAAGUAUCCGUUGCCACGGAUUGACUUGUUAUUUGAUCAACUAGCUGGAGCCAAGGUCUUUUCAAAAAUCGACCUUCGGUCAGGAUAUCAUCAGAUUAAGAUAAAACCCGAAGACAUACCUAAAACAGCCUUCUCAACCCGAUAUGGAUUGUAUGAGUAUUUAGUUAUGUCUUUCGGACUGACAAAUGCCCCAGUGCAUUUUAUGUACCUCAUGAAUUCGGUAUUCAUGCCAGAAUUAGAUAAAUUUGUGGUCGUCUUUAUAGAUGAUAUCCUUAUCUUUUCUAAAAAUGAAGAGGAACAUGCGCAACACCUGCGUAUUGUUCUAAAUAGACUCCGGGAACACCAGUUGUAUGCCAAGUUCAGUAAAUGUGAAUUCUGGUUAAAGAAAGUUCUAUUCCUUGGGCACAUACUGUCCGAAAAAGGAAUUGAAGUAGAUCCCGGAAAAGUCAAGGACAUAUUGGAUUGGAAAUCACCAACCUCUGUACAUGAAGUAAGAAGUUUCUUGGGAAUGGCCGGCUAUUACCGUAGGUUCAUUCCCAAUUUCUCAAAAAUUUCCAAACCAAUCACAGAGUUAUUAAAGAAAGAAGUGAAAUUUGAGUGGAAACCCGAAUGUGAAGAAUCGUUUCAAACCCUAAUGAAGUUGCUGACUACAGCUCCAGUACUAGCUCAACCCUAUAUAGAGAAGCCCUUUGAUGUGUACUGUGAUGCCUCAGGAACAGGCAUAGGGUGUGUUCUUAUGCAAGAAGGCAGAAUUAUUGCUUAUGCUUCUCGUCAACUGAAGCAUCAUGAAGAGCAUUACCCUACCCAUGAUUUAGAGCUUGUUGCCGUCGUGCAUGCAUUAAAGAUAUGGCGACACUAUCUUUUGGGUAGUGAAUGUCGUAUCUUUACUGACCACAAAAGCUUAAAAUACAUCUUCACUCAAAUGGACUUGAACAUGAGACAAAGACGGUGGUUGGAGCUGAUUAAAGACUAUAAGUUAGAAAUCCAUUAUCACCCUGGUAAGGCUAAUGUGGUGGCCGACGCUUUGAGCAGAAAGGCCCAAUGUCACUGCACUACCAUCCAAUCUAAUCUUAAGACCUUAUGUGAGGAAAUGGAAGAUUUAAGUUUGGAAAUAGUAAAACAAGGUGCCCUCCAGAGCAUUAUUGUAGAAGAUACCCUAAAGGAAAGAAUUAUAACAGCCCAAAAAGAAGAUCCUUGGAUUAAGGUGCUCUAUCAACAGAAGGCAGAAGGGAAGAUUCCCGAACUCAUUCAAGAAGAAGAUGGAGGGUUGUACUUCAAGAAAAGGAUAGUAGUUCCUAAGGAUGAAAGCCUAAGAAAGUUGAUCUUAGAUGAAGCACAUCUGUCUAAGUUCGCUAUUCAUCCCAGAAGCAAUAAAAUGUACCAAGAUUUAAAGCAAAGAUUCUGGUGGGCCAAGAUGAAAAUUGAAAUUGCAAGAUAUGUAGCCGAGUGUGAUACUUGCCGGAGAGUUAAGCCCAUACUACAAAAGUCGGCAGGUUUACUUCAACCUUCAGAAAUCCCUGUCUGGAAAUGGGAGGAUAUUUCCAUGGACUUUAUAGUUGGAUUGCCUACCACUUCAAAAGGAUAUGAUUCCAUAUGGGUUAUUGUCGACCGACUUACUAAGUCAGCCCACUUCAUCCCAGUCAAGACUACCUAUCCAGUGUCGACAUAUGCUAAACUCUACAUAGCCCAGAUCGUAUCGUUGCAUGGAGUACCAAAGACAAUUAUCUCCGAUCGAGGCUCCCAGUUUGUUUCCAGAUUUUGGGAAUAACUACAAAAAGACAUGGGCACUACUUUAAUUAGACGUUCUGCCUAUCAUCCCCAAACUGGAGGACAGACAGAAAGGGUCAACCAAAUCUUGGAAGAUAUGUUAAGAGCAUGUGUCCUUACCUUCUCUAAGCUAUGGGACGAGUGUUUGCCCCUAGCCGAGUUCUCCUAUAAUAAUAGUUAUCAAGCUAGUAUCAAAAUGGCACCUUUUGAAGCUUUAUAUGGUCGAAGAUGCCGAACCCCCUUGAAUUGGUCGGAAGUAGGAGAAAGGACACAUUUAGGAUCAGAUCUGGUUAUGGAAAUCGAGGAAAAGGUCCGGAAAAUUCGUAAACAUUUGGAAGUGGCCCAGUCCCGACAAAAGAGUUGUUCAGACAAAAGGAGACGAUCCUUAGAAUUUCAUACCGGAGAUUUUGUAUACUUGAAGGUAUCCCCGAUGAAAGGAAUACAACGAUUUGGAAUAAAGGGUAAAUUAGCCCCAAGGUAUAUUGGUCCUUAUGAAAUUCUGGAACGAAAGGGUCCAGUGGCAUACAAACUUUCGUUACCAGACCAACUUACUUCUAUACAUGACGUAUUUCAUGUAUCCCAGCUUAAGAAAUGCUUAAGAGUUCCAGAACAGAUUCUAGAAGAUCCAGAAAUUGAGCUCGAACCAGAUCUAACCUAUGAAGAAAGGCCUAUUAAAAUUCUGGAUCAAAAGACAAGAGAUACCCAAACUCGGAGUAUUACGUUUUACAAGGUACAAUGGAAAAAUCAUACUCCGGAUGAAGCUACUUGGGAACAGGCUGAAGACCUAGAGUCUAAAUAUCCUGAGUUAUUUGAAACCGUCAGGACCAGAUGAACAAAAACCACCACCCCACUUUCCUUAUACAGAAAAGAGAAAAUUAGUUAGCCUGACGCAGUUUCCUUUCCAUUCUCAAAGCCGAGGAUUUAACCCCGGGAAUCUCGGGACGAGAUUCUAUUAAGGGGGAGAGGCUGUAAUACCUGCCAUUUUUAGUCAUCAAAGUGACUCUGAAGAAAUGGAAGCAAUUCAUGAAGAAAAGAAGAAGAAAUUGGCCAAAAAUCAAAUUCGGGUCAAAUUUGACCGAAAUUUGAAUUUUGAAUUUGAAAUUCAGAAAAAUUUGGCAAAAAUAUGGAAUGGAGGUGUAAGGAUGAUUAGAACUUAAAGAUCAAGAUUUGGGACAAGAUUUGGUUCUAAAUACCUCAAGAAAAUCAAAGAGAGAAAUUGAAAAUCAAAGUUACUGUUCCCUGUCCGACAACAGGAAUUUCAGAAAAACAGCACAAAGUUCAUUUUUGGAAAUUAGAUUCUGUUGAAUUUUUCAAAUAAAUGGAUCCAAACAACUAUACCAUAUUAAAGUGUGGACUUUGGACAAGAAUCUUCAAGUGUUGUUGAUCAGGAAUAGUAGAGGGAACCAUUUCAAAUGGAAGCUCAAAGUCGGCACCUUGUCACGGUAAACUGGCCAAGUUUGGAGCCGAUUUCAGAAAAAUGUAGAACAAAAGGUGCAAGUGUUUAUGGGCAAAAUGGAAACUUUGAAGGUUGUAGAACACAAUUGGGAAGAAGUUGGACAGAGAGGAAGGGAUUUAGAUCACUAAAACCAUUUUUAAAGUCAGGUAAGUGACUCUAUUCAAGACUGACGAACUGAACUUUGAAUUUAAGUGAUUCAGUUACAGAAGAAAGGGAAUUCGAAUUCCACUGUGCUAGGAUGUUUAUCCCGGGUAGAAACUUAAAAAAAAA
Molecule: long non-coding RNA, 15218 nt
Filed under: Setaria viridis
Lineage: Eukaryota; Viridiplantae; Streptophyta; Magnoliopsida; Poales; Poaceae
Description: long non-coding RNA (SVIR_LNC003472)
Source: RNAcentral